Molecule: ribosomal RNA, 340 nt
Filed under: uncultured bacterium
Lineage: Bacteria
Description: partial 16S ribosomal RNA
Rfam family: Bacterial small subunit ribosomal RNA
Source: RNAcentral
CCUACGGGAGGCAGCAGUGAGGAAUAUUGGUCAAUGGGCGCUAGCCUGAACCAGCCAAGUAGCGUGAAGGAUGACUGCCCUAUGGGUUGUAAACUUCUUUUAUCUUGGAAUAAAGUGCAGUAUGUAUAAUGCUUUGCAUGUACCUUAUGAAUAAGGAUCGGCUAACUCCGUGCCAGCAGCCGCGUUAAUAAGGAGGAUCCGAGCGUUAUCCGGAUUUAUUGGGUUUAAAGGGAGCGUAGGCGGGUUGUUAAGUCAGUUGUGAAAGUUUGCGGCUCAACCGUAAAAUUGCAGUUGAUACUGGCAUCCUUGGGUACAGUAGAGGUAGGCGGAAUUCGUGGUG